Molecule: ribosomal RNA, 1444 nt
Filed under: uncultured organism
Description: SSU rRNA
Rfam family: Bacterial small subunit ribosomal RNA
Source: RNAcentral
GCUUGCUACAGGCUUAACACAUGCAAGUCGAGGGGCAGCAUGGUCCUAGCUUGCUAAGGCCGAUGGCGACCGGCGCACGGGUGAGUAACACGUAUCCAACCUGCCGUCUACUCUUGGACAGCCUUCUGAAAGGAAGAUUAAUACAAGAUGGCAUCAUGAGUCCGCAUGUUCACAUGAUUAAAGGUAUUCCGGUAGACGAUGGGGAUGCGUUCCAUUAGAUAGUAGGCGGGGUAACGGCCCACCUAGUCUUCGAUGGAUAGGGGUUCUGAGAGGAAGGUCCCCCACAUUGGAACUGAGACACGGUCCAAACUCCUACGGGAGGCAGCAGUGAGGAAUAUUGGUCAAUGGGCGAGAGCCUGAACCAGCCAAGUAGCGUGAAGGAUGACUGCCCUAUGGGUUGUAAACUUCUUUUAUAAAGGAAUAAAGUCGGGUAUGCAUACCCGUUUGCAUGUACUUUAUGAAUAAGGAUCGGCUAACUCCGUGCCAGCAGCCGCGGUAAUACGGAGGAUCCGAGCGUUAUCCGGAUUUAUUGGGUUUAAAGGGAGCGUAGAUGGAUGUUUAAGUCAGUUGUGAAAGUUUGCGGCUCAACCGUAAAAUUGCAGUUGAUACUGGAUAUCUUGAGUGCAGUUGAGGCAGGCGGAAUUCGUGGUGUAGCGGUGAAAUGCUUAGAUAUCACGAAGAACUCCGAUUGCGAAGGCAGCCUGCUAAGCUGCAACUGACAUUGAGGCUCGAAAGUGUGGGUAUCAAACAGGAUUAGAUACCCUGGUAGUCCACACGGUAAACGAUGAAUACUCGCUGUUUGCGAUAUACGGCAAGCGGCCAAGCGAAAGCGUUAAGUAUUCCACCUGGGGAGUACGCCGGCAACGGUGAAACUCAAAGGAAUUGACGGGGGCCCGCACAAGCGGAGGAACAUGUGGUUUAAUUCGAUGAUACGCGAGGAACCUUACCCGGGCUUAAAUUGCAGAUGAAUUACGGUGAAAGCCGUAAGCCGCAAGGCAUCUGUGAAGGUGCUGCAUGGUUGUCGUCAGCUCGUGCCGUGAGGUGUCGGCUUAAGUGCCAUAACGAGCGCAACCCUUGUUGUCAGUUACUAACAGGUUCCGCUGAGGACUCUGACAAGACUGCCAUCGUAAGAUGUGAGGAAGGUGGGGAUGACGUCAAAUCAGCACGGCCCUUACGUCCGGGGCUACACACGUGUUACAAUGGGGGGUACAGAGGGCCGCUACCACGCGAGUGGAUGCCAAUCCCCAAAACCUCUCUCAGUUCGGACUGGAGUCUGCAACCCGACUCCACGAAGCUGGAUUCGCUAGUAAUCGCGCAUCAGCCACGGCGCGGUGAAUACGUUCCCGGGCCUUGUACACACCGCCCGUCAAGCCAUGGGAGCCGGGGGUACCUGAAGUGCGUAACCGCGAGGAGCGCCCUAGGGUAAAACUGGUGACUGGGGCUA